RNAcentral lists this ribosomal RNA (181 nucleotides) under Bos taurus (domestic cattle). RNAcentral describes it as "partial small subunit ribosomal RNA". The record is from RNAcentral. Lineage: Eukaryota; Metazoa; Chordata; Mammalia; Artiodactyla; Bovidae.
AAUUUCCCAAACUGGGAUUAGAUACCCCACUAUGCUUAGCCCUAAACACAGAUAAUUACAUAAACAAAAUUAUUCGCCAGAGUACUACUAGCAACAGCUUAAAACUCAAAGGACUUGGCGGUGCUUUAUAUCCUUCUAGAGGAGCCUGUUCUAUAAUCGAUAAACCCCGAUAAACCUCACC